AUUUUUGUGGAUAAAUUUAAUAUAGAAGAUUGCCGAGAUACAAAAACCGCUACUGUAUAUUUACAAUCACUCGACGAGGCAUACAAUGUCGCCGACGGUAUAUAUAGCAAAGGUUUCAAAUUCACACAGAUAGCAACAAAAUAUAAGCUGAUGUAUGCUUGCAGAGUACAGAGUAAAAGACUUGCAAAUGUAUAUUUACCUGAUGAAAAUAUUGGGGACGAA
RNAcentral lists this long non-coding RNA (222 nucleotides) under Mytilus galloprovincialis (Mediterranean mussel). Lineage: Eukaryota; Metazoa; Mollusca; Bivalvia; Mytilida; Mytilidae. The record is from RNAcentral.